AACUGACAUGGCCACUCGCAAGCCAAUAGGUUUGGAUUCCGUGAUGUUUGAACUAGGAACCAAAUCCAACCAUUUUUCCACUGUAAGAUUGGAGUCAGGUGACAGGAAGUCUUCCAGAGAUAUGAAAGUGGUGCCCAUUUUCUUGGAUAAUUUUGUGAGGGAUGAAACAGAAGAUGAGGACAUGAGUUCAAAGAGCAGGUUCCCAGUAGGCUGACACUGGAAGGAUGCCACUUGUUUCUCACCAGACUCAGAGAAAAUUU
RNAcentral lists this long non-coding RNA (260 nucleotides) under Salvia miltiorrhiza (redroot sage). RNAcentral's name for it is "long non-coding RNA (SMIL_LNC005221)". Lineage: Eukaryota; Viridiplantae; Streptophyta; Magnoliopsida; Lamiales; Lamiaceae. The record is from RNAcentral.